ACACAACAGAUUUCAAGGAGGAGGAGGUAUUUUGGGCCUGAAGAGCUUUCCAAUUCCUAUCAAACCAUUCCCCAUAGGCACCUCUCUAAUAAGUAAUAUAUUCUUAAGUGGACUUUCUUUGGUGUGUCAUAUUUUAAGAGAAAAAGACAGUGGUGACCCACUGUGAUGUCAGUUCCAGGAUUAGGGCCCAUUCUUCAAUUCCCCCUGAAAAGAGGAGGGAAAAAAAACCCCUCCCUCUGGCUCACUGUCAGAGUUCCAGUCAGUCUGAGUGUACCAAGCAGACAGACCACCCACAAACUGCAACAAAUAACAACCGUCUCUUCUUCUGAGGCAGUUAUCCACCAUUUCAUCCAAGAAUUCUUUCUUCUUUGUGGAAGCUUGCUGAUUGCUGACAAUCUACAGUCUAAAUGAUGGUCAAGAAAUACUGCAGUAACUCUACUGGAGCCACUGGAGUGAGGAACCCUAGCAAAGAAAGAAAAGCUGAAAGUCUACUCCACAAUUAACAAAAAGGAGCCUGUAGUGAGGAAAAAGGAGCCCUGGGAUUCCCAAGAGACCCAUCUCUGCUGGGCAGAGUUUUCUCCUGCAUUAAUUGCCCCUGAAAGAAGAUGCCGGAAAAGCAAGGCUGAUAUGUAGGGGUCAGUCAGUGAAUGAGGAUGCACCAUACCUCUGUUCAGAUCAUUGACUCAGAACCUGAAGACACGAACACCAGAUGCAAGCGAUUUCUUCAAAUUGUGUCCUUGCAAUUAUUAUUCUGAAUCUCUAUUGAAAUAUUAUCUCAACUUUAUUGGA
This 789-nucleotide long non-coding RNA is filed under the name Equus caballus (horse). RNAcentral describes it as "lncRNA (ENSECAG00000055067.1)". Lineage: Eukaryota; Metazoa; Chordata; Mammalia; Perissodactyla; Equidae. The record is from RNAcentral.